RNAcentral lists this ribosomal RNA (301 nucleotides) under uncultured bacterium. RNAcentral's name for it is "partial 16S ribosomal RNA". It matches the Rfam family "Bacterial small subunit ribosomal RNA", at positions 509 to 807 of the family's 1533-position model. The record is from RNAcentral.
CAGUCGCCGCGGUAAGACAGAGGAUGCAAGCGUUAAUCGGAAUUACUGGGCGUAAAGCGUGCGCAGGCGGUUAUAUAAGACAGAUGUGAAAUCCCCGGGCUCAACCUGGGAACUGCAUUUGUGACUGUAUAGCUAGAGUACGGCAGAGGGGGAUGGAAUUCCGCGUGUAGCAGUGAAAUGCGUAGAUAUGCGGAGGAACACCGAUGGCGAAGGCAAUCCCCUGGGCCUGUACUGACGCUCAUGCACGAAAGCGUGGGGAGCAAACAGGAUUAGAUACCCCCGUAGUCCCUGUCUCUUAUAC